Molecule: ribosomal RNA, 1382 nt
Filed under: uncultured bacterium
Lineage: Bacteria
Description: bacterial SSU rRNA
Rfam family: Bacterial small subunit ribosomal RNA
Source: RNAcentral
CCUGGCUCACGAUGAACGCUAGCUACAGGCUUAACACAUGCAAGUCGAGGGGCAGCAUGGUCUUAGCUUGCUAAGGCCGAUGGCGACCGGCGCACGGGUGAGUAACACGUAUCCAACCUGCCGUCUACUCUUGGACAGCCUUCUGAAAGGAAGAUUAAUACAAGAUGGCAUCAUGAGUCCGCAUGUUCACAUGAUUAAAGGUAUUCCGGUAGACGAUGGGGAUGCGUUCCAUUAGAUAGUAGGCGGGGUAACGGCCCACCUAGUCUUCGAUGGAUAGGGGUUCUGAGAGGAAGGUCCCCCACAUUGGAACUGAGACACGGUCCAAACUCCUACGGGAGGCAGCAGUGAGGAAUAUUGGUCAAUGGGCGAGAGCCUGAACCAGCCCAAUAGCGUGAAGGAUGACUGCCCUAUGGGUUGUAAACUUCUUUUAUAAAGGAAUAAAGUCGGGUAUGGAUACCCGUUUGCAUGUACUUUAUGAAUAAGGAUCGGCUAACUCCGUGCCAGCAGCCGCGGUAAUACGGAGGAUCCGAGCGUUAUCCGGAUUUAUUGGGUUUAAAGGGAGCGUAGAUGGAUGUUUAAGUCAGUUGUGAAAGUUUGCGGCUCAACCGUAAAAUUGCAGUUGAUACUGGAUAUCUUGAGUGCAGUUGAGGCAGGCGGAAUUCGUGGUGUAGCGGUGAAAUGCUUAGAUAUCACGAAGAACUCCGAUUGCGAAGGCAGCCUGCUAAGCUGCAACUGACAUUGAGGCUCGAAAGUGUGGGUAUCAAACAGGAUUAGAUACCCUGGUAGUCCACACGGUAAACGAUGAAUACUCGCUGUUUGCGAUAUACUGCAAGCGGCCAAGCGAAAGCGUUAAGUAUUCCACCUGGGGAGUACGCCGGCAACGGUGAAACUCAAAGGAAUUGACGGGGGCCCGCACAAGCGGAGGAACAUGUGGUUUAAUUCGAUGAUACGCGAGGAACCUUACCCGGGCUUAAAUUGCAGAUGAAUUACGGUGAAAGCCGUAAGCCGCAAGGCAUCUGUGAAGGUGCUGCAUGGUUGUCGUCAGCUCGUGCCGUGAGGUGUCGGCUUAAGUGCCAUAACGAGCGCAACCCUUGUUGUCAGUUACUAACAGGUUCCGCUGAGGACUCUGACAAGACUGCCAUCGUAAGAUGUGAGGAAGGUGGGGAUGACGUCAAAUCAGCACGGCCCUUACGUCCGGGGCUACACACGUGUUACAAUGGGGGGUACAGAGGGCCGCUACCACGCGAGUGGAUGCCAAUCCCCAAAACCUCUCUCAGUUCGGACUGGAGUCUGCAACCCGACUCCACGAAGCUGGAUUCGCUAGUAAUCGCGCAUCAGCCACGGCGCGGUGAAUACGUUCCCGGGCCUUGUACACACCGCCC